Molecule: ribosomal RNA, 490 nt
Filed under: uncultured bacterium
Lineage: Bacteria
Description: partial 16S ribosomal RNA
Rfam family: Bacterial small subunit ribosomal RNA
Source: RNAcentral
AUUGAACGCUGGCGGCAGGCCUAACACAUGCAAGUCGAGCGGUAGCACAAGAAAGCUUGCCCUCUGGGUGUCGCGCGGGGCGGGGGUGUGAAAUGUCUAGGAAACUGCCUUAUGGCGGGGGUUACCUAGUGGAAACGGUAGCUAUAACCGCAUAUCGUCUCAACCGCAAAGAGCAGGAGCUUCGGGCCGCUUGCCAGCAGAUGUGAGCAGAUGGGAUUAGCUAGUAGGUGGGGUAAUGGCUCACCAAGGCGACGAUCCGUAGCUGGUCUGAGAGGAUGAGCAGCCACACUGGAACUGAGACACGGUCCAGACUCCUACGGGAGGCAGCAGUGGGGAAUAUUGCACAAUGGGCGCAAGCCUGAUGCAGCCAUGCCGCGUGUGUGAAGAAGGCCUUCGGGUUGUAAAGCACUUUUAGCGGGGAAGAAGAUGGUGAACUUAAUACGUUCAUCUCUUGACGGUACCCACAGAAGAAGCACCGGCUAACUCCGUG